AGUGAACGCUGGCGGUAGGCCUAACACAUGCAAGUCGAACGGCAGCACAGUAAGCGCUUGCUCUUACGGGUGGCGAGUGGCGGACGGGUGAGGAAUACAUCGUAAUCUACUUUUUCGUGGGGGAUAACGUAGGGAAACUUACGCUAAUACCGCAUACGACCUACGGGUGAAAGCAGGGGAUCUUCGGACCUUGCGCGAUUGAAUGAGCCGAUGUCGGAUUAGCUAGUUGGCGGGGUAAAGGCCCACCAAGGCGACGAUCCGUAGCUGGUCUGAGAGGAUGAUCAGCCACACUGGAACUGAGACACGGUCCAGACUACUACGGGAGGCAGCAGUGGGGAAUAUUGGACAAUGGGCGCAAGCCUGAUCCAGCCAUACCGCGUGGGUGAAGAAGGCCUUCGGGUUGUAAAGCCCUUUUGUUGGGAAAGAAAAGCAGCAGGUUAAUACCCCGCUGUUCUGACGGUACCCAAAGAAUAAGCACCGGCUAACUUCGUG
RNAcentral lists this ribosomal RNA (492 nucleotides) under uncultured bacterium. RNAcentral's name for it is "partial 16S ribosomal RNA". It matches the Rfam family "Bacterial small subunit ribosomal RNA", at positions 29 to 507 of the family's 1533-position model. The record is from RNAcentral.